This 776-nucleotide ribosomal RNA is filed under the name uncultured Neocallimastigales. Its description in RNAcentral is "partial large subunit ribosomal RNA". It matches the Rfam family "Eukaryotic large subunit ribosomal RNA", at positions 23 to 644 of the family's 3401-position model. The record is from RNAcentral. Lineage: Eukaryota; Fungi; Neocallimastigomycota; Neocallimastigomycetes; Neocallimastigales.
AUAGAGACUCAGAGCUGCAUAUCAAUAAGCGGAGGAAAAGAAACUAACAAGGAUUCCCUAGUAACGGCGAGUGAAGCGGGAAGAGCUCAAAUUUGAAAUCUUCAAGGUUCUACCUUGACGAAUUGUAGUUUAAAGAAGUGUUUUCUGUUAGAUGAGUAGGCAAAAGUUCCUUGGAAUAGGGACAUCAUAGAGGGUGAGAAUCCCGUAUUUGACCAUUACUUCCAGCGUUGUGAUACACUUUCAAAGAGUCGGAUUGUUUGGGAAUGCAGUCCAAAAUGGGUGGUAAAUUUCAUCUAAAGCUAAAUAUUGGCGAGAGACCGAUAGCGAACAAGUACCGUGAGGGAAAGAUGAAAAGAACUUUGAAAAGAGAGUUAAACAGUACGUGAAAUUGUCAAAAGGGAAGCGUUUGACACCAGUGUUGUUUUUCCGAAAAUCAAUUAUAAAUGUUUUGUUUCUGAGGAGUGAUGACUUCAUCGGCUUCCUUCUCUCUUCACGAAACUUUUGUGAUGCACUUUUCGGUUAACAAGUCAACAUCAAUUUCUUUUGUUGUAAAAGAGUAUUCGGAAGGUGGCUUUCUUUUCGGAGAAAGUGUUUAUAGCCCUAUACUUCUACAAUCGGAGAGAUUGAGGUCUGCAGCGUAGAUCCUUCGGGGUUAGAUACACUUGUGCUAAGUUAUAGCUUUCAUAGACAACUUGUUGACUAUGAUUCAGUCAUUGUAGCUUACUCGCUUAUGCUAUUUUACCUACGCUUAGGAAUGUUGAAGUCAUCGUAUCGCG